RNAcentral lists this ribosomal RNA (411 nucleotides) under uncultured Candidatus Saccharibacteria bacterium. RNAcentral describes it as "bacterial SSU rRNA". It matches the Rfam family "Bacterial small subunit ribosomal RNA", at positions 958 to 1385 of the family's 1533-position model. The record is from RNAcentral. Lineage: Bacteria; Candidatus Saccharimonadota.
AACGCGAAGAACCUUACCCAGGCUUGACAUCCUGUGAAGGUCUCUGAAAAGAGAUUGUGCCUUCGGGAACGCAGUGACAGGUGUUGCAUGGCCGUCGUCAGCUCGUGUCGUGAGAUGUUUGGUUAAGUCCAUCAACGAGCGCAACCCUUGUAGUUAGUUGCUUUUCUAGCUAGACUGCCCUGGUAACAGGGAGGAAGGAGGGGAUGAUGUCAGGUCAGUAUUACCCUUACGUCUGGGGCUACAAACACGCUACAAUGGCCGGUACAAAGGGCAGCCAAGUCGCGAGACGGAGCAAAUCCCAUCAAAGCCGGUCUCAGUUCGGAUUGUAGGCUGAAACUCGCCUACAUGAAGCUGGAAUCGCUAGUAACGGUAGGUCAGCACACUACCGUGAAUACGUUCCCGGGCCUUGUA